This 301-nucleotide long non-coding RNA is filed under the name Camarhynchus parvulus. RNAcentral's name for it is "lncRNA (ENSCPVG00000006619.2)". Lineage: Eukaryota; Metazoa; Chordata; Aves; Passeriformes; Thraupidae. The record is from RNAcentral.
GGCGGGCCGUUCGAACGGCGCUGCCGCUGCUGGCGGCGCUCGGGCCGGGCUCUGGGCGCUGCGGGCUCGCUGUGCCCCCGGGCAGCCCGACGCAACACAGCCCGCCCGGGCAGCUCCGGCCCGGCCUCCCCCGGCCCGGCCUCCCCCCUCUCCGCAGCGCCCGAGGCGCAGGCAAGGCUCCCUUCCCGACGGGACAGGCCGCGCUGCUCCUCCGCCGCCGCUCCGGGACAGACAAUGGGCGAGCAGGGUCCUGGGGAAACGUGGCCUCGCCACACUGCGGAGCAGAGGAAUUCCAGCUGAG